This 273-nucleotide ribosomal RNA is filed under the name uncultured Lactobacillus sp. RNAcentral's name for it is "partial 16S ribosomal RNA". It matches the Rfam family "Bacterial small subunit ribosomal RNA", at positions 264 to 525 of the family's 1533-position model. The record is from RNAcentral. Lineage: Bacteria; Bacillati; Bacillota; Bacilli; Lactobacillales; Lactobacillaceae.
CUUACCAAGGCGAUGAUGCAUAGCCGAGUUGAGAGACUGAUCGGCCACAUUGGGACUGAGACACGGCCCAAACUCCUACGGGAGGCAGCAGUAGGGAAUCUUCCACAAUGGACGCAAGUCUGAUGGAGCAACGCCGCGUGAGUGAAGAAGGUUUUCGGUAUCGUAAAGCUCUGUUGUUGGUGAAGAAGGAUAGAGGUAGUAACUGGCCUUUAUUUGUACGGUAAUCAACCAGAAAGUCACGGGCUAACUACGUGCCCAGCAGCCGCGGUAAAU